Molecule: long non-coding RNA, 2921 nt
Filed under: Triticum aestivum (bread wheat)
Lineage: Eukaryota; Viridiplantae; Streptophyta; Magnoliopsida; Poales; Poaceae
Description: long non-coding RNA (TAES_LNC018863)
Source: RNAcentral
UCCUCUUGUACAUGUAUAUAUGGUGGCUUUUGCCUCCUAGUAAUACAAGUUGCAUAUUUCCCUAACACCCCCGAGCCCAGUGGACGUGACCAAGCUCGGCCCGGAGGCGCAGGAGAUGCGGGAGGGCCUCAUCCGCCUUUGCUCCGAGGCCGAGGGGAAGUUGGAGGCACACUAGUCCGACAAGCUUGCCGCCUUCGACAACCCGCUCGACCACCUCGACAUGUUCCCCUACUACAGCAACUACAUCAACCUCAGCAAGCUGGAGUACGAGCUCCUGGCGCGCUACGUGCCCGGCGGCAUCACCCCUGCCCGCGUCGCCUUCAUCGGCUCCGGCCUGCUGCUGUUCAGCUCCUUCGUCCUGGCCGCGCGCCACCUGCCCGACACCAUGUUCGACAACUACGACCUAUUAUGUUACUGGGUCUAAUUCAACCAUCGUUACAUUAGGCCCAUUCUAGGCCCAUUAGCACUUUGGGUUGUUUCUCAUCCGUGAUGCAUUUUGGCUCAUUAAGGGUCCGUUAUGCCUACAGAUAGUAAUAAGCAUGUGAUGUCUUUUGGCCAGUUAACGACCCAUUAUGUUCUGGGCCCAUAAACGGACCCUUCUGCUUUUAGCCCGUUUGAGGCCCAUAUUGCGGUUUGAGCCUUUUGUUAUACGAGGUUAUUUGGCCCAUUUGUGGCCCAUGUUGUGUUUCGGCGUGUUCGCAGCCCAUAUAUACAUGAUAUGUGGCCCACUAAUAGUAUGGCCCCUAUGUGGCCCAUGGUUCCUAUGACCCAUAGAAGGCACAUCGUUAUUUUGGCCCAUAAGUGGCACAUGGUUACCACGACCCAUUAACAACUGACGGGACUUUCGGUGCGGUCCAUAAGCAAACCGCACACAUAAAACUACAAUACCUAUGGUAAGUAAAAAUAUAAACAAGCAAGUUGAGCUAGGCUAUUAUCAUGGCUAUUACAUAUAUUAAAUGCACUGGCCCUCAAAGUUUGUCACCGGUGCAAAUAAAUGGCGGCCUUUACAUUUGAAAAUCAUUUGUUGAAAAGUAUUUGUUGAAAAUCAUUUGAAAAUCCAAGACAUAUCGAGAUCGCUUAAAAACCCAAUACAUUUUUUAAAUCAGAAAAAUCGAGAGAAUGAACAUGAAGGCCCAUGCAAAUUGUAUAUAGGAAAAAGAAAAAUUCUUAACAUUUAAGUUCAAAUGAAGUUUUGACUUCUCAACAUUUUGUACAUUACAACACUAGUAUACAUGGAAUGCAAUAGGAAAAUGAAAAUUCCCAACAUUUUAGUCCUGAAAAAGGUCAAUUUAAACUAAUCUAAAAAUUCCUGGUUCCGGAAGUACUAAUCACAUUUUGCACCGGUGAACAUCUGUUCUAAAAUACAUGGCAUAAAUUGUUGUUUAAAGGAUCAUUGCAAAGAAAUGUACAACCUAUUUUGGAACGGAUGGAGUAUAUUAUACCAUCACUAGCUGGCAGUUAAUUGACUAUCAAUUCGCUACUGAAAAAGGCGAUGUUGCCCUAGUUACACCUUUGAAAGUUAGAUCUGCACACAUAUCAUUUGUGCAAAUAUGGUCGAUAAUAUGGUUUGUUGGACUUACAACAAAUAUAGAUAUAGGGUAACUUUAGAGUACUAAAAUCUUAUGAAAUAAAAAACUUUAAAUCAUUGCAGGACAAUUUUUAAAAAAAAUGAAUGUUACAAAAAAAACAAAAAACUCGGUAACUUACUUCUAGUUACAAUCUCACAUAACCGAGAUUUGAAAGAGUAGAUAAAUCAUAACCUGGGCGAAAUUUGUUAGUACUUCCAUAACCGAGAUUUUUUUAUGGGAGUACUUUUAAUUAACCAAUUUCAUAGGAGUAUAUAAACCAUGGAGGGAAAAAAAAAUAUCCCACGCAACCAGUAGUGGCUCCAAGGAAAUUUAAGUUCUUUGUACCGAAAAAAUAAGUUAAAUUAGUCUUUAACUGUGACAUUUUGUUGCGCGUAUGUGUAGGAGCUUUUAGAUAGGAAUACCUCAAGUCGCAAUCAGCCUAAAAAGCUAUGUUAGGUACUACACUCUUUAUUCAAAGCGAUCGGAUCUACUACAUACAGACAUAGAAAACGCUGUCCACUUCAACAGCAGGACGUGAAGCACCGAACAAGUCACAACAGAGGCGUGCAUGAAACGAGCCUCUCACCCGGGCAGCUCCACCCGGGCCGACCGACCGCGUGACCGACCGCGUGAACCGUGCGUGCAUGGAUGCACACCUUUUGUAGCUCCACCCGGGCAGCUAUAUACACCCAGUGGUGCCCGCUCCAUUAACAUCAAGCAAGAAGCUCCAUCAACCACUCUCCACUCCACUUUUGUACGAAGAACACUAGUGAAAUAUGGCUGCCCAGAACAACAAGGAGGUGGAUGCCCUGGUGGAGAAGAUCACCGGCCUCCACGCCGCCAUCGCCAAGCUGCCGUCGCUCAACCCAUCCCCGGACGUCGACGCGCUCUUCACUGAGCUGGUCACGGCGUGCGUUCCCCCGAGCCCGGUGGACGUGACCAAGCUCGGCCCGGGGGCGCAGGAGAUGCGGGAGGGCCUCAUCCGCCUUUGCUCCGAGGCCGAGGGGAAGCUGGAGGCGCACUACUCCGACAUGCUUGCCGCCUUCGACAACCCUCUGGAUCACCUCGGCAUGUUCCCCUACUACAGCAACUACAUCAACCUCAGCAAGCUUGAGUACGAGCUCCUGGCGCGCUACGUGCCCGGUGGCAUCGCCCCUGCCCGCGUCGCCUUCAUCGGCUCCGGCCCACUCCCGUUCAGCUCCUUUGUCCUGGCCGCGCGCCAUCUGCCCGACACCAUGUUCGACAACUACGACCUGUGCGGUGCGGCCAACGACCGUGCCAGCAAGCUGUUCCGUGCGGACACGGACGUGGGCGCCCGCAUGUCGUUCCACACGGCCGACGUAGCGGACCUCG